This 634-nucleotide ribosomal RNA is filed under the name Mycobacterium sp. So1Ps_780. Its description in RNAcentral is "bacterial SSU rRNA". It matches the Rfam family "Bacterial small subunit ribosomal RNA", at positions 381 to 1027 of the family's 1533-position model. The record is from RNAcentral. Lineage: Bacteria; Bacillati; Actinomycetota; Actinomycetes; Mycobacteriales; Mycobacteriaceae.
GCCUGAUGCAGCGACGCCGCGUGAGGGAUGACGGCCUUCGGGUUGUAAACCUCUUUCAAUAGGGACGAAGCGCAAGUGACGGUACCUAUAGAAGAAGGACCGGCCAACUACGUGCCAGCAGCCGCGGUAAUACGUAGGGUCCGAGCGUUGUCCGGAAUUACUGGGCGUAAAGAGCUCGUAGGUGGUUUGUCGCGUUGUUCGUGAAAACUCACAGCUUAACUGUGGGCGUGCGGGCGAUACGGGCAGACUAGAGUACUGCAGGGGAGACUGGAAUUCCUGGUGUAGCGGUGGAAUGCGCAGAUAUCAGGAGGAACACCGGUGGCGAAGGCGGGUCUCUGGGCAGUAACUGACGCUGAGGAGCGAAAGCGUGGGGAGCGAACAGGAUUAGAUACCCUGGUAGUCCACGCCGUAAACGGUGGGUACUAGGUGUGGGUUUCCUUCCUUGGGAUCCGUGCCGUAGCUAACGCAUUAAGUACCCCGCCUGGGGAGUACGGCCGCAAGGCUAAAACUCAAAGAAAUUGACGGGGGCCCGCACAAGCGGCGGAGCAUGUGGAUUAAUUCGAUGCAACGCGAAGAACCUUACCUGGGUUUGACAUGCACAGGACGCCGGCAGAGAUGUCGGUUCCCUUGUGGC